AUCGGGAGGCCGGAACAGGGGAGGGAAGGAGCUUCAGUGGCUGAAGAAAUGGUUAGGGGUGACCAAACCUUUCUGUGAGUGAACAAUAUGGUCAGGACGAGAGGAACCAUUUCACGGGGGUUUAGGUUACCCUAAGAACAUGUAUACACAAGCGAGCAGAUGUCUAUCCUUGGAAGAUGAAAUAUAACAAACCACGAUCAAGAACGGAGUUGGAUUUGCCACCUCGUUGUUUGUCAGAGAGAAAAUUAUCUCAGACAACCACAAGAAUCUUCACACUUUUCAUUCAUAUGCUGGGCAGCGUAUCACAAUCUUCUUGGGAGGUGCAUUGACAAACGUGUACGUAAGGCAAAGAUGACAUUAUUAGCUAGAAAACAGCUGAUGUUCAGGGAACGGGAAUGGAUCUCAGGAAGGAAUUCUAAGAAAAGUAAUGAACAACAAGAGAUAGAAUGACAAUUUACUUUAGUUUAUAAUGUGACCAACGGACUGCAGAAUAAUAAAUAUCCUGCUAAAAGAACAAGAACUAUCUGAUCGCAAUGAAACACAAUGGACCAAAGGCACUCCUUUUACCAGAAUUGAAACUAAAGAGAAAGGUAUCCACCAAGUUGAAUGAACAGAAAGUCAAAUACAGCAAAGAGGGACCGGAAGCAUUCAGAAGGAAAACAUGAACUAUGAAAAUUGAUAUAAGCCUAACAUAACCAGUAUUAGGAAAGCAUACCACAAAUUAUCUAAUACAAAGAGGGAAUCAGCAUUAAUUAAGAUUCAUUGAAGGAUGGACAGAGCAACUUCAGGUAAUGACAGUGAAAUGGGAAAAAUAACUGAUAUAUAUAUAGUACCUACUUUUUAGCAAUUGAUAUGACAUUAUACCAUUGCAAACAUUUCAUAUUUCAACCUCCCUUGUGGAUGCUUCAAAGCCUCUCAGCCCAGGUUUCCCUCUCUAUCCCUCUUAGUCAUAUUCUUCUAUAUGUUUCGGCUUCAUUUGCUACUUGAUUGCUGCCACUCUCCCUCUGUCUGCGCCAACGCUCUAAUUUACGACUGCUCCUGUAUUAUUUCGGUGCCAAUGCAAAAACCACUUGUUAUCUUUUUUUUUGAUUGGCCGCUCGGUCAAACCAUCAUUUAUUCCUCCAUGUAACACUCGCUGCUUCAGUGCUGAUCCUCCAACAAUGCAGAACCCCCUGAGUGCUGACCCUUGGACAGUGUGGCACUCCAUCAGUAUUGACCUCCUGCAGUGCCCUGGUCCCUGACUUUGGGCCCUCCAACAGUGCAGUGCUCGCUAGCUAUUGACCCUCUGACAGUGCGGCUCUCCCUCAGUACUAAACAUCCGGCAGUGCUGUGCUGCCUCUUUACUGACCAGCCAACAGUGUGGCGCAUCCUCAGCUUUGACGAUGUGUCAUACCAGCACUCCUUCAGUACUGACACUCCGACAUUGCAGCACUGCCCCAGUACUGGCACUACAACACAGUGGAACUCCAUCAGUGUUGACCAUCCGACGGUGCAGCACUCCCUCAGUACUGAGCCUCCGACAAUGCAACACCUCGUCAGCAUCCACCAAGUGACAGUGCAGCGCUCCCUCAAUACUGUCCAGUGAUGACCACAGAAAGCCAUUUUAAAACCCCAUGGAGUUUUAUUAAUUGCAUUUCUCCUGCAUUUGCACCUUGACCUCAAUCUCACCAAUUAAUGAAUUGCAUUCGCUAUUUAUUUGAACACUGCGUUGCUCUCUCGCUCUCUAAUUUAUUAUUGGUAUUCCCAAUCUAUUUGCACACUGGGUUGCUCUCGCGCACUCUCUCUCUCUCUGUAAUUAGUUAUUUGCAUCUGUACUAUAC
This is a long non-coding RNA of Carcharodon carcharias (great white shark), 1820 nucleotides long. RefSeq lists it as uncharacterized. NCBI's taxonomy places the organism in Eukaryota, Metazoa, Chordata, Chondrichthyes, Lamniformes, Lamnidae. The transcript is spliced from 3 exons. The record is from RefSeq and is a predicted model, not a curated record.